RNAcentral lists this ribosomal RNA (460 nucleotides) under uncultured bacterium. RNAcentral describes it as "partial 16S ribosomal RNA". It matches the Rfam family "Bacterial small subunit ribosomal RNA", at positions 338 to 795 of the family's 1533-position model. The record is from RNAcentral.
CCUACGGGUGGCAGCAGUGAGGAAUAUUGGUCAAUGGGCGCGAGACUGAACCAGCCAAGUAGCGUGAGGGAUGAAUGUCCUGCGGGUUGUAAACUUCUUUUGUAAAGGAAUAAAGUCAGGCACGUGUGCCUUGUUGAGUGUACUUUAUGAAUAAGGAUCGGCUAACUCCGUGCCAGCAGCCGCGGUAAUACGGAGGGUCCGAGCGUUAUCCGGAUUUAUUGGGUUUAAAGGGGGCGGAGAUGGGUUGUUAAGUCAGUGGUUAAAGUUUGCGGCGCAAACCUAAAACCGCAUUUGAUACUGGCAGUCUCGAGUACAGGAGAGGUAUGCGGAAUUCGCGGUGUAGCGGUGAAAUGCAUAGAUAUCACGAAGAACUCCGAUUGCGAAGGCAGCAUACUAGACUCACACUGACACUGAUGCACGAAAGUGUGGGUAUCAAACAGGAUUAGAUACCCGAGUAGUC